RNAcentral lists this long non-coding RNA (4646 nucleotides) under Sus scrofa (pig). RNAcentral describes it as "lncRNA (ENSSSCG00055010329.1)". The record is from RNAcentral. Lineage: Eukaryota; Metazoa; Chordata; Mammalia; Artiodactyla; Suidae.
UGCAGCCUGCCAGUCUAAAGAGCAGGAAAACCAGGUGGGUAGCCUCUUUUGCCUUUGGCAUCUCUGUACCCCUUCUCACAGGGGAAUUGGUUAUAGCCCUACUCCCAAACCUGCAGGUCCUGCCAUGGUGACUGCUGAGUUACAGGUUGCCUCUCCCUGACCCUCAGCCCCAUAGAGUCUGCUUCACUACAAUCCUUAUAAGGGAUCAGACACACAGGGACGAGUUCAGUUCACCUGGGCUGCCUACUAUUCUCUGUCCACCGGUCUAGAUUUCUGCCAGCAUUCCCUUUCCUCAGCAGUGACUAGGAUCCAAACCUCUAGUCUGCCUGACGCCACUCUAAUGAAACAAAGCGCCACCUUAAAGCUGGUCCAGCUGCUGAAAUCCUGGUGAUCUGCCCCCAUGCCCACUGGUGUUAUACCUGCGCACCUGCCUCCCCUCGUCCCAUCCCUUUGCAGAGCCCCUGCGGUUUGACUGGCUAGGCCAGUCCUGGAUCUUCGAGAAUUUGGCCUGCAACUCUUUCCUCUACCUGCUCUGGAUCACACAGGGCACCAAGGUCCUAGUUUACCUUACCCAGCUCUCCCAGAUUGGCGCAUUUAAAACACUGGUUUCCUUGGUAAAAUGGGAAGACUGAAAAAUUACUCUCAGGGUCAAGCAAGUUAAAAAACAUUUCCUUUGUUUUAAUGCAAAUCUAAAAGUUACACAAUAGAGAUCAGCCCCUCCUGUGGGCUGUCAGAUGUCUAGCACCUCCACUUGGCUGUGUCAGUUUGGUCCAGUUACUGAACUUGGAGGGUCUCUGUUGGUUGGUUUGAAACCUCGGGAGCUUCCGAGUGAAAUCUGAAACUGGGCUCAAACACAGAGGGUAAGGAGAGCCUGUCGAAAGAGGCAUCCACUCCAGAUUGAGAGGUGGCAGGUUUAGGAAGAAGGGAACUUACAUAGGAGGCUUCUCUUGGGUGCUGCAAGACCAGAUCUCCACACCCACCCGCCAGAACCUUAAACGUGUAUUUAGAGACUCUAAUGGGGUUCAGUCACGUGUUCAGUCCUGAUGGUCUCAACAAUGCAUUAUCCUCUCAAAGCUACAUCCUUAAAAAUGGCUCCCACUGUGGGACUGUGAGUGGAAUGUAUAUUCCAAGGACAGGGCACGGGGCAGGAUUGUUGAGGAGCUUCUGAUUGCCUGGGUCCAGCCAGAGGGUCAACCAGUGGUCGCAUCCUCCAAUGACUUCAUCCAGCACCAUUUCUCCACCCGUAAAAUGGGAGCACCCAUGGUGCAUGUCUGCAGAUAUCUUGUGAGGAUUUUUGAAAUAAUGCUACGUCAUAGUGUUAUUGUCGUUUCAGAUAUGUUUCUUUUUAAAGCAAAAGGUUAAGCUUUCUUACUGAGAUUUUCAGUGUAUCCAAAUUACAUAGGGUUAUCACAUGCUGAAAUUUCACCAGGGACCGUCCUCACGCAGCAUGAUGCUAUGAUGACUGAAAUGUGUGUGGGAACUGCGUCCUCACUUUGCCUGGUUCGCUGGUCACUGACAUUAGCCCAGCAAAGCAAGGACUAUCUGUGUAUGCAAAGCACUGGCCUAGAUUCUUUAUUUCAUAUCCGUACAGUCCUCACUUCCCUCUCUGUAAUGUUCUUACUGUAUUCCCCAUUUUUUGCAGAGGGAACUAAGUAAGGCUUAAGAAUGUUCGUGAAAUUUUCCUAGAUCCCAAAUCUAUCAGUCAAACCCAGGUAUGGAUGGCAUCAAAGGCCACAUUUUUCCCACUGACAUAUGCUUGGUGCUUUCUCUGAGAAUAAAGUAGAAUAACAAUGUAUAUACAGAUGGCCGACAAGCACAUGAAAAGAUGCUCGGCAUCAGUAAUUAUUAGAGAAAUUCCAGUCAAAACUACAAUGAGGUAUUACUCAAACUGGUCAGAAUGGCCAUCAUCAAAAAGUCUACAAAUAAUAAAGGCCAGAGAGGGUGUGGAGAAAAGGAAACCCUCCUGUGCUAUUAGUGGAGCUGUAAAUUGGUGCAGUCACUAUGGAGAACAGUAUGGAUAUUCCUUUAAAAACUAAAAAUAGAGUUACUACAGGAUCCCGCAGUCCCACUUCUGGGCAAUUAUCCAGAGAAAACUCUAAUUCCAAAAGAUACAUGCAGAGUUCUCUGGUGGCUCAGUGGGUUAAGGAUCCGGCGUUUUCAUUGCUGUGGCUUGGAUCACUCUUGUGGUGUGGAUUCAGUCUCUAACCCAGGAGCUUCCAUGUGCUGCAGGAAUGGCCAAAAAAAAAGGAUACAUGCACCCCAGUGUUCAUAGCAUUACUGUUUACACUAGCCAAGACAUUGAAGCAACCUAAGUGUCCAUCGACAGAUGAAUGGAUCAAGAAAGUGUGGUAGAUGUAUUCAGUGGAGUAUUAUUCAGCCAUAAAAAGGAAUGCAGUAAUGUCACUUGCAGCAACACAGACAGACUUGGAGAUUAUCGUACUAAAUGAAGUAAGUCAGACAGAAAAAGGCAAAUAUCAGAUGAUAUAGCUUAUAUGUAGAAUCUAAAAAAAAUGAUAACAAAAAUGAAAUUAUUUACAAAACAGAAAUAGACUCACAGACCUACAAAACAAACUUAAGGUAAUCCAAGGGGGAAGAGGAAGUAAGGGAUAAAUUAGGAGUUUGGGAUUAACAUAUACAUACUACUAUAUAUAAAACAGAUUAACAACAAGGACCUACUGUAUAGCAGAGGGAGCUGUAUUCAGUAUCUUAUAACCUAUAAUGAAAAAGAAUCUGAAAAAGAAAAUAUAUAUAUCUGAAUCACUUUACUAUACACCUAAAACUAAUAUAUAGUAAAUCAAUUGUACUUCAACUUUUUUUUUGAAAAAGUAUAUAUGUUUUUUAAGGUCUCAAUUCAAAUGGAAUGCUUUCUCAAGUAUUUGAUAAAUAGCAAAGAAAUUUUUGUUUCAAGUUAUUUUUACAUCUUCAGUAUUUAGAGCAUAUUCCAGCCAUCAAUAAUAUUUUGUUACACGGAGCCUAAUCGUUGUUAAAAAGAAAAAUCAGCAAGUAUAUGGAGGCUCCCUUUUUUCUGCUGUAUAUUUUUUCAAUCUUACUGAAUACCUUGAAAAUUUCUUUCAGUAUACAUUGGAUUUGCCAUUUCAGAAGUGGUUAUGUCACUGUUUUAAUCUCAUAAAGCAGAGUUUGCGGAAAUAAAAAUGUUGGUUUUCUCUCUGAGAUGAGGAGGUGAACAAAGGUUUUAAUCUGACAUGCAAACUGAAAAAUAGGAACAUCUGUUUGUGAUGUUGAGAUCUGGCUUCAGUGUGUAUUCCUUCAUGUUCAGCCAACACAGGCCAGGUAUUAUUAUGAUGCACUGGGCUAGAUGGUCUAAAAUACCUUCCUACUUAUCUUUACUUUAUAUGCAUUUUUUUUCAGUUGUAUUUGUAGAAAAAGGAUGUGUUCGGAGGAUGACAUAAGAGCAACUUAUUGAGUGAUAAUAGUCUAGGAAGUGAUGGAGCCAGGAUUUUAAACAGCCGAUGUGGCUCUAGCCUGGAGCCAUCCUCCUUGUUUCCAUACCGACUCAAGCUCCAUCUCUUGCUUAGUUGCUUCACAACUUCUUUCACUAUUUUAAAAUAAUUCUUCACCCAUUUUUAUUAGCAUUAUCAAGUCAUAGUUCAACUCAGCUUAUCCUGCAAAAGUGUGUCAUGAAUCAUAGAUUAUUUUUUGCACAUAAUCAUUUUCAGAUAAGCUGCAGUAAGACUCACCGGCUCCUUAAUUUUCCAGAAAUUGCUCACUUGCAUGCACAGGAUUCAUGUUCUUUGCUCUUGGCAAGCAGACAUUGCCACUUGCCCUAAGUCUUGAAACUGACCUAGUCUCCUCUUAAUAGUUUAGGGAAUCAGCAGCUUUGGCGAUGCAGUAUUUUUGUGGAUUCCAACAAAGGAGUCAAGGAGAAGAUAACCUCUCCAAAGAUCACUAUCUAGCUAGCGAGACCAAUUUAUCCACUUGAUGGUGAAAGUUGUGAAUUGUUCAAAAGUUUUCUAAAGCACGCAAUGUCACUGGCUUGACUCUCCUGACUGCCAAAUUGGAGGAGGCAAGAGAGAUGGCAUGUUCUCGAUAAACAGUUCUGCAGCUGUUGAAAAGGUCAAGUGGUUUAGCAAGUUCUUGCCUAAGGACAGCCCUUUGCCUCCCAGUCCACAGGCUUGCUUUAGAAUGUAGGAAAGUGAACCGCCCUGAGCUCAGCUAACUACUCAGGCAAGUAGCAUUAAUGCGGAGUCUGCCUCCCUUGGGACACGGAGAGCCACCCCUUGCCAAGGAAGUUUCUGACUACACUGUUAGUGCAAGGAAACCCAAGGUGAGGUGCAUUCAGGCCCAAAUAAGCCCAGGAGUCUGGUCAGAGACUGGGAGUUUGGAAGCAGAAUUAUUUAGGUUCGGGCUCUAAACUUCAUGAUCACCAACCACCUCCUUCACUAUGAAGCCUGUGCAGUGCUGUGUAUCCCUAAAGCAGCUCUCCAUUUGGAAUCCAUAAAAUGCAUUUAUUUGUUGGAGUUCCUGCUGUGACAUAGUGGGUUAGAGAUCUGGCAUUGUCUCUGUGAGGGUGAGGGUUCAAUCCCCAGCCCGGCUCAGUGGGUUUAAAAUCUGAUAUUGCCACAGCUAUGGCGUAGGUCACAGCUGCAGCUUGGAUUUGAUCCCUGGCCUGGGAACUUCCAUAUGCA